Molecule: unclassified non-coding RNA, 232 nt
Filed under: plant metagenome
Description: partial contains small subunit ribosomal RNA, internal transcribed spacer 1, and 5.8S ribosomal RNA
Source: RNAcentral
CGUAGGUGAACCUGCGGAAGGAUCAUUACCGAGUGAGGGCCCUCUGGGUCCAACCUCCCACCCGUGUUUAUCGUACCUUGUUGCUUCGGCGGGCCCGCCUCACGGCCGCCGGGGGGCACCCGCCCCCGGGCCCGCGCCCGCCGAAGACACCAUUGAACGCUGUCUGAAGAUUGCAGUCUGAGCAUCUUAGCUAAAUCAGUUAAAACUUUCAACAACGGAUCUCUUGGUUCCG